Molecule: long non-coding RNA, 404 nt
Organism: Vicia villosa (hairy vetch)
Lineage: Eukaryota; Viridiplantae; Streptophyta; Magnoliopsida; Fabales; Fabaceae
Exons: 2
Source: RefSeq, a predicted model, not a curated record
AUUAAGAGUUCUAUUUGAAAAUUUUCAGUCUAUCGAAGCAAAUUUCAUCAUGAAGCUAGGAAGCAUUCUCCUAAUGGUGUGUGUUUUGCUUGCCCUCUUGAGCCACACUUACGGAUCUCCUACACCUAUAAGAGAUGCAGAUGAUGUUGAAUUUUGUCCUAAAAGUUUGAAUACAUCAGGAAAGUGUAGCGACACAUCUCGAACCUGUUUUGACGAACUCAAUUCUGCAUAUGGAGCAAGUGGCAUGGCUCAUCAAUGUACUUGUAAAGAUCUUGCCGAUAAUAAACGCCUUUGCACAUGUUUAAUUAACAAAGUUUAUUGUAAAAAUUAGUCAUUUUGAUGACAAACUAAAAUGUAAUAACAUUAUAAAUUUAAUAAAAUUUAAUAAUGUUAUGAUGUCCUAA